Salmo salar (Atlantic salmon) is the source of this 810-nucleotide non-coding RNA. NCBI's taxonomy places the organism in Eukaryota, Metazoa, Chordata, Actinopteri, Salmoniformes, Salmonidae. The record is from RefSeq and is a predicted model, not a curated record.
UAUUUUCAGGGUGGGGAGACGGCUGAUUGAAACCGAAAGUAAAGUUGUUCUUUUGUUCAGGAUCCAUUUUGAGACGACAGAGCAGAAAACACUACAUGGAGAUUAUUGAAAAAUAAAGGGUCAGUGCUCUAAAAUGAGUCUCUCUGGGGAGAGAGAGGAGGGGGGCCCUGCCUCUAAAAUGCAUCUCUCUGGGGGACAUGACACCAAAGCUAAGAGCGCCCGGCCCGGGAUUCAAACCAGCCACCUUUCAGCCACAGGUCCAACUCCUGCCACAGCUCCAACUCCUUAAUCGCUGGGCGAAAACCUGAGUUAAUCUUGGGAAAUUAGCAUAAAUUAAUCUGCCAAAAUGAAGACAAAAUGCUUUGGAGACAUACAUGGUAUCACUUGUUAUACAUAAGUAUUAUACAUAAAUCAUUGCCAAAAGGACAGGACAUAUAUUAUUUAUGGAUUGAUCAUAUCAAAUAUCAAAACAUUAUUUUAACUACUACAAAGCAUUUACAUGUGGCUCAGGAACCACUGACUCACUGCAUUGUUCUAUAGUAUUAUCAAGACACCUGCUGUUAACUCUUAACUACUUAGGACAGCUCACGAGGUGUUCUAAAUAUCUGCUGACUAGGUGGGACUAGAGAUUUCAUGCAUAGCUUUAAUUUAUUCCCCGAAGUGUCAAAUGUCUUUAUUCUCAGCACUUAUACGACCACUUCUCUACUCUGAGACGCUUUGUGGAUAUGGGCCUAGAUCUCAAAAUAUUGUUAUAAAAAAAGUGGAACGUUUGUUUAACAUAAUAAUAAAAAAUGAAUAUUACUAAUGUAA